RNAcentral lists this ribosomal RNA (301 nucleotides) under uncultured bacterium. Its description in RNAcentral is "partial 16S ribosomal RNA". It matches the Rfam family "Bacterial small subunit ribosomal RNA", at positions 509 to 807 of the family's 1533-position model. The record is from RNAcentral.
CAGCCGCCGCGGGAAUACGUAGGGUGCGAGCGUUAAUCGGAAUUACUGGGCGUAAAGCGUGCGCAGGCGGUUUUGUAAGACAGGCGUGAAAUCCCCGGGCUUAACCUGGGAACUGCGCUUGUGACUGCACAGCUAGAGUAUGGCAGAGGGGGGUGGAAUUCCACGCGUAGCAGUGAAAUGCGUAGAGAUGUGGAGGAACACCGAUGGCGAAGGCAGCCCCCUGGGCCAAUACUGACGCUCAUGCACGAAAGCGUGGGGAGCAAACAGGAUUAGAUACCCCUGUAGUCCCUGUCUCUUAUAC